UACGCUUCUUUUUCCACCGGAGCUUGCUCCACCGGAAAAAGAAGAGUGGCGAACGGGUGAGUAACACGUGGGUAACCUGCCCAUCAGAAGGGGAUAACACUUGGAAACAGGUGCUAAUACCGUAUAACAAUCGAAACCGCAUGGUUUUGAUUUGAAAGGCGCUUUCGGGUGUCGCUGAUGGAUGGACCCGCGGUGCAUUAGCUAGUUGGUGAGGUAACGGCUCACCAAGGCCACGAUGCAUAGCCGACCUGAGAGGGUGAUCGGCCACAUUGGGACUGAGACACGGCCCAAACUCCUACGGGAGGCAGCAGUAGGGAAUCUUCGGCAAUGGACGAAAGUCUGACCGAGCAACGCCGCGUGAGUGAAGAAGGUUUUCGGAUCGUAAAACUCUGUUGUUAGAGAAGAACAAGGAUGAGAGUAACUGUUCAUCCCUUGACGGUAUCUAACCAGAAAGCCACGGCUAACUACGUGCCAGCAGCCGCGGUAAUACGUAGGUGGCAAGCGUUGUCCGGAUUUAUUGGGCGUAAAGCGAGCGCAGGCGGUUUCUUAAGUCUGAUGUGAAAGCCCCCGGCUCAACCGGGGAGGGUCAUUGGAAACUGGGAGACUUGAGUGCAGAAGAGGAGAGUGGAAUUCCAUGUGUAGCGGUGAAAUGCGUAGAUAUAUGGAGGAACACCAGUGGCGAAGGCGGCUCUCUGGUCUGUAACUGACGCUGAGGCUCGAAAGCGUGGGGAGCAAACAGGAUUAGAUACCCUGGUAGUCCACGCCGUAAACGAUGAGUGCUAAGUGUUGGAGGGUUUCCGCCCUUCAGUGCUGCAGCUAACGCAUUAAGCACUCCGCCUGGGGAGUACGACCGCAAGGUUGAAACUCAAAGGAAUUGAC
Molecule: ribosomal RNA, 879 nt
Filed under: Enterococcus sp. NCCP-2319
Lineage: Bacteria; Bacillati; Bacillota; Bacilli; Lactobacillales; Enterococcaceae
Description: bacterial SSU rRNA
Rfam family: Bacterial small subunit ribosomal RNA
Source: RNAcentral